Astatotilapia calliptera (eastern happy) is the source of this 3517-nucleotide long non-coding RNA. The record is from Ensembl. NCBI's taxonomy places the organism in Eukaryota, Metazoa, Chordata, Actinopteri, Cichliformes, Cichlidae.
GUUCAAAGCUGUUCCAACUUGUGGGGGAGUAUAGCUGUAGCGUGCUGGGUUUACUGUAGGCUGUCAUUCAAAGCAAAUCAAAGACCAGGGCUUAACAAAUGGGUCAUUAGGAAGCAGUAUAUUUAUUAUCAUUUUCCUUUAUUCAUUUAGGUAAACAUCUCAUUAAGAUUAAAACCUCUUUCAUGAGAGACCUGGCCAACAGGGCAGCAGAAGUUACAAUAAAUACAUACACAUAACACUAUAUCAAGCAAAGAAACAAGUACUAUAGCUUAAAAUUUUAACCACAAAUUGAAUCUGACAGUGUGUUAAAUAACAUUUUUUUUCAAAUAAAUAUUUGUUACUUUAGUUUUCUUGACAGCUAAACAUAUUAAUUUUCCAACAACAGAUUUCAUUGCCAUAUUGAAGUGCUACUUACAUUAUAUUUGAUUUUUAGAUGUUCAACAAUAAUUUGCUGAUAGUAUGAAGUGUUGACUCUGUCUCCCAGUUACUUGGCAGAAAAUUCUGUCUUUCUGUAGGCUGGUUUGCAGCAUUGUGUAUGUUUUCUACAGGUGUUAUCUUUUAUUUUGGUUGUAAAUUAUGCAGACGUUGUUUGUAUGGGUAAAAUAGUUAUAAUGUACAAGCCACUUAUGUCUAAAAGUAUAGUUGGAAGAGAAACCUCAGUAAAACGAACUAAGUAAAUGUGUGGUUAUUAGUUUACUCUGGCCCACCUUUUAUUCAUAAAGUGAGUGAUGUUUUAGCAGAAGUCUAUCAGCCACUAGAGGGGAGAAGAUCGAGUGGCAGUCCUUGCAUGUUAGCAGUCAGUAGCCAGAUUACACACCUAGCGCAUGUAGACAGGAGUUGUAAUUCUUUACUCCAUUGUUCACCUUCCUCUCAGCUCUGGUUGAGUCUCCUCCAUAAAUUAAACUGGAUUUGUGGCUGUUUAAUGUUUGUGUCUUUGUUUUUUGCCUGUCUGCCGUUUGGUGAAAUUGUUUGGGCUGGCCAGAGCAGCAAGACCAAACCGGGUAGUAAAUGUGCCGUAAAACCAAAACUAAAGCUGAAAGAGGCUAAAAAGCUCCGUACCAUGCUGCAUAAUUGUGAGUUCUCUGUGAGUGUCAGUUUUUAACAUAGUCAUGUCAAGUUUUCGUUGAAAGAAAUUGAUGAAAAUGAAUUAUGAGGCAAAACAUGACAUGCAGUUGCUUAACUACUUUAACUAGAUGACAUGCAACUUAUUAGGACUAAUAAAGUUAGGGAAAUUGCUUCAAUAUUGAUUAACUUUACAAUCGCAAUCGCAGCUCGGGUCAAACAGAUUGACACUAAAAGUCUUUGUAUCUGAGAUCUGAACACAUCUCCAAAUGGGCAAGAAUUUUCCUCAACCAAUGCCUUUAAUUGUCACAAUCUUCUAGGACAAAUUGUCGGUUUUUACCUGAACCCUUCUUCCAAUAUUACUCAUCGUGUCUUCAUUUCAGUCCCACCCCCUCCCUUUUCUUUUUUUCUUUUUUUUAAAUCUUCCGUCCAUCUCUUGCUGUUUUUGACCGUCAUUUUCUCCAUGAACCUAUCGUGUCUUAAGUGUUGUUUUUAAAUUCACUUUGAAAGUUUACACUGUUUGCGGUCAUGUUGUGCCUGUUAUAAUAACUCUUCUGUCUGAUCCUCUGUAAAGUUUGUGAGCUACUGAAUAUUUUAAUGCAUUAUUGAUUAUAGAUUAUAAAUCAGAGGCAAAAGAGAACAGAAGUCAGAUGUUUUGGGUUUUUUUGUGUAUGUCAGAUUUAUCAAAACAACAAAUCAAUCUAAGUACCUCUAAGAGCUUUUAUUUUUGGAUCUCCUGUGUGUGAAUUCUCUCUGAUGCCUGCGGUUUGUACUCGUUCGUUCAGUUUUCAAUGUGUGUAUCGAUGCCUGUGUGUUUGUUGCACUGUCAGCAUGUUUGACAGUAUGAGAACGGAUUGACCUGUUCAGUGUUUCUGAUGCAGGAGCUGCAAAACAUUUGUUGGUUUUAUCCAGUUUUUUUUUUUUUUGUUUGUUUGGUUUUUUUUUUGUUUUGUUUUUUUGGCUUUGUUUGCUUUUGUUUUGCUUCUUUUCUUUUUUUUCCCGACAUGUCAGCUGCGACUUGAUACAGAUGGCCACUGCGUCUUAUAGUCAGCUAAAAUGCAUUAUAAAGGUAUCUGAUACCAACCACGGUGUGGUGUUUCUGUCUGGAGGAGGAAGUUGCAAAUACAUUUAUCAUUGCACAUUUAUGUUAAUAUUUUAGUUUCCUUGAUAAAUUGCUCACGAAUUAAACUUACAUAUAUGCAUUUUUAUCUUGUGGAAGCAGACGUGAUUGGCCUAUUAUAUACACUUCUCUGAAUUUUGCCUGUGGGAAUGUGACUGUCUUGACUGUACUUAUUCUACUAAGUUUACAUUUUCUGCCUUUUGUUUUUUUUUUUAAACAAAUCUCUUUCCCCAUGAAAAAAAAACCUUUCAGAAGUGCUCCAAAGCUUGAUAAAUUAUAACAGUGUGUGAUGCAGCAUAAUCCAGCUAAAGUUUAAAAUGUUCCUCCAAGUUGAUGUUUGAAAAUAUAUUUCAUGUAUCAAUCUUUUCAUGUAGUUUGUAUGACUUUGAUGGAUAUAUACUCUUUCGGAAAUCAUUAACCUGAAUUCAAAAACUCCACUAGGUUCACAAGAAACUGUUCUCACCACACUCGGCAGAGCAGUGUCACCACAGGCCAGGAAAACCUUGUUCCUCACAACAACAAACAAAACAAAACCCAAAGUCAGUCCAGUCAUUGAAUCUUCUGGACAGGAAUGCCCUGCCGUGGUGUUGACUAUCAGACCAAAAUCAAGAUUUUAUGGUGAAAUAACCAAACCUGCCUGAACAUUUGACCAAAACUUUGAGAAUUUUUUUUUUGUGAAUCAUUUUCUUUUGUCAUGAUUUUACUUGUGUUGCCUUUGACACGAUGCUAGUUUUGUUUGUAACAGUUAUAAAAUGUAAAAAGGAACAAACAAAAAAAAAAAGCAAAAAGGUUUUGAGAGUGUAAUAAGCCGGAACUGAACGUGUAUGUAUUGAUGAGUAUCUUUGUCAGUUGUUUGCAUUUUAUCUAGCCGAAGCGUUUGUUAUAGAUUGACUUUGCAACUUGAGAGCUGAUUAAAAAUGAACUUAGUACUAUAAUAACUUUCUGAUGUUUUUGUCUUUGAUUUGUAGUCAUGCUAGGUUAAUUGAUACAAAUAGGAGUUUGUUAAUGCUUUGUGAAUCACGUCCUCAUAGAUAUCACUGAGCUUCUUUCAGGGGGAGAAGCUGGAAGUCCCCAGUUUGGUGAACUUGUUUAUAUUUCCUUGAAGUAAAGACUACUUUUUUCUUUCUUUCGUCACUUAUAAGCAUAGAAAUGUCUAGCUUCAUAAUGGUAAAUCAUGCAAUGGCAGAACCUACCAUUCAUGGGUUUUUUUUUGUUUUUUCAACAUUACAUUAGCUCUUGUAAUUCAGUGCUAAUAAAUGUGUAAUUAAUAUUUAACUGUUUAAAAACAUUGGCCACUUUACUUAUUACCUACACAAACUAGAAAAUGUGACAAAG